Molecule: ribosomal RNA, 465 nt
Filed under: uncultured bacterium
Lineage: Bacteria
Description: bacterial SSU rRNA
Rfam family: Bacterial small subunit ribosomal RNA
Source: RNAcentral
CCAGACUCCUACGGGAGGCAGCAGUGAGGAAUAUUGGUCAAUGGGCGCGAGCCUGAACCAGCCAAGUCGCGUGAGGGAUGACGGCCCUACGGGUUGUAAACCUCUUUUGUCGGGGAGCAAAUUCCGCCACGUGUGGCGGAGUCGAGAGUACCCGAAGAAAAAGCAUCGGCUAACUCCGUGCCAGCAGCCGCGGUAAUACGGAGGAUGCGAGCGUUAUCCGGAUUUAUUGGGUUUAAAGGGUGCGCAGGCGGAGGUGCAAGUCAGCGGUCAAAUUGCGGGGCUCAACCCCGUACUGCCGUUGAAACUGGCAGUCUCGAGUUGGAGAGAAGUAUGCGGAAUGCGCGGUGUAGCGGUGAAAUGCAUAGAUAUCGCGCAGAACUCCGAUUGCGAAGGCAGCAUGCCGGCUCCCAACUGACGCUGAAGCACGAAGGCGUGGGUAUCGAACAGGAUUAGAUACCCCCGUAU